RNAcentral lists this ribosomal RNA (500 nucleotides) under uncultured bacterium. Its description in RNAcentral is "bacterial SSU rRNA". It matches the Rfam family "Bacterial small subunit ribosomal RNA", at positions 274 to 768 of the family's 1533-position model. The record is from RNAcentral.
CGACGAUCCGUAGCUGGUCUGAGAGGAUGAUCAGCCACACUGGGACUGAGACACGGCCAGACUCCUACGGGAGGCAGCAGUGGGAAUUUUGGACAAUGGGCGAAAGCCUGAUCCAGCCAUGCCGCGUGAGUGAAGAAGGCCUUCGGGUUGUAAAGCUCUUUCAGACGGAAGAAAUUGCCUGGGUGAAUAUCCCGGGUAGAUGACGGUACCGUAAGAAGAAGCACCGGCUAACUACGUGCCAGCAGCCGCGGUAAUACGUAGGGUGCGAGCGUUAAUCGGAAUUACUGGGCGUAAAGCGUGCGCAGGCGGUUACAUAAGACAGAUGUGAAAUCCCCGGGCUUAACCUGGGAACUGCGUUUGUGACUGUGUGACUAGAGUACGGUAGAGGGGGGUGGAAUUCCUGGUGUAGCAGUGAAAUGCGUAGAUAUCAGGAGGAACAUCGAUGGCGAAGGCAGCCCCCCUGGACCUGUACUGACGCUCAUGCACGAAAGCGUGGGGAG